This is a non-coding RNA of Macaca mulatta (Rhesus monkey), 2096 nucleotides long. The record is from RefSeq and is a predicted model, not a curated record. NCBI's taxonomy places the organism in Eukaryota, Metazoa, Chordata, Mammalia, Primates, Cercopithecidae.
AUGGCAGACAUUGACAACCUGCCUAGCUAGGGUAGUUAAAAGAGGAGUGAAUACUCUCAAAAACCUGCAUAAGUGCACAGAUAGAAGCCAAAUUAUAUGAGGAAGUUCACAAUCUUGAAAGAAAGUAUGCUGUUCUCUAUCAGCCUCUAUUUGAUAAGCAAUUUAUGAUUAUUAAUACAAUUUAUGAACCUAUGAAGAAUGUGAAUGGAAACCAGAUGAAGAAGAUGAGAUUUCAGAGGAGUUGAAAGAAAAGGCCAAGACUGAAGAUGAGAAAAAAGGAUGAAGAAAAAGAAGACCCCAAAGGAAUUCCUGAAUUUUGGUUACCUGUUUUUAAGAAUGUUGACUUACUCAGUGAUAUGCUUCAGGAACAUGAUGAACCUAUUCUGAAGCAUUUCGAUGAUACUAAAGUGAAGUUCUCAGAUGCUGGCUAGCCGAAGAGUUUUGUCUUAGAAUUUCACUUUGAACCCAGUGAAUAUUUUACAAAUGAAGUGCUGACAAAGACAUGUAGGAUAAGGUUAGAACCAGAACCAGAUGAUUCUGAUCCCUUUUCUUUUGAUGGACCAGAAAUUAUGGGUUGUACAGGGGGCCAGAUAGAUUGGAAAAAAGGAAAGAAUGUCACUUUGAAAACCAUUAAGAAGCAGAAACACAAGGUACAUGGGACAAUUCGUACUGUGACCAAAACAGUUUCCAAUGACUCUUUGCCCCUCCUGAAGUUCCUGAGAGUGGAGAUCUGGAUGAUGCUGCUGAAGCUGUCCUCGCUGCAGACUUCAACAUUGGUCGCUUUUUAUGUGAGCAUGUAAUCCCAAGAUCAGUGUUACAGUUUACUGGAGGAGUUACGGAAGAUGAUGAUGAUGAGUAUGGUGAAGAAGGUGAAGAAGCAGAUGAGGAAGGGGAAGAUGAAGGAGAUGAGGGAAAUGAUCCAGACUAUGACCUGAAGAAGGAUCAAAACCCAGCAGAAUGCAAGCAGCAGUGAAGCAGGAUAUAUGUGGCCUUGAGGAUAACCUGCACUGUAAUAGCCUAAACACAACUCUUACUUACUGCCUUAUGUUUUUGUAUUUUCUUGGUAGACUACGUAAUUUUUGUUUUAAAGGACAGGAAACUGAUAUUUUAAAGACCAAUUUGUUCUAGCUAGCAUUUUCACUAGUUUUUCUGCCAGAUAUGUUGAAUGCACAAAUUCUGUCACACAUGUUCAUUCAUUGCUAAUAAUUUGGUUCUUCUGGAAUCUUUUUAUGUAGCUCUUGGAGUACAGCUAUGAAAAUUAACAACUGUUAAAGGAAACACUUUUUUUUUUUUCCCGGAAUUUUUUCCUUGAAGAACCAAAGUAUAUUUUCAGCUGUCUGUUGAAUAGGGUUAAGUCUGCUUGGAUUAGCUAUGCCUUUCAUUACUUUGUUACAGAAAUGCAGGGACUUAUACUAAGACAAUUCGUUUAAAAAAAAAAAAUUGGCAUGUGCAGUGGCUCACGCCUAUAUUCCUAGCACUUUGAGAGGCUGAGGCAGGCAGAUCACCUGAGGUCAGGAGUUCAAGACCAGUCUAACACGGUGAAACCCCAUCUCUACUAAAAUACAAAAAUUAGCUGGGCAUGAUGGCAGGUGCCUGUAAUCCCAGCUACUCAGGAGGCUGAGACGGGAGAAUCGCUUGAACCCAGGAGAUGGUGGUUGCAGUGAGCUGAGAUCAUGCCACUGCACUCCAGCCUAGGUGGCUGAGCAAGACUCGGUCUGAAAGAAAAAAAAAAUGGGCAAGACAACUAUAUGGUUAAGAAUUUAAGAAUUUCCAGUAUGACCACACCCAAUAACUGUAUUAGAUUGUUAAUGGAUUAUUGUGUUAUAGGUGAAAUAGUUAACUGUAAAGUAACCUGACUCAGUAUAGUUACUGGUACAACAGUGAGAUGAAUAAGACAGGAUUUUCAGAAGUUAGCCUGAAUUUCACUAUACUUUUAAAUUUAACCUCCAUUAACUAAGCAUCUUUUCUUUGUAGUAGGAUCUACCUUCUGCUUCCCUGGAAAGGAUGAAUUUACAUCAUUUGACAAGACCUAUUUUCAAGUUAUUUGUUGUUUAUUUGCUUGUUUUUGUAGCCUAAAAUAAAAAUUUCAAAUACAA